CGUAGGGUGCAAGCGUUAAUCGGAAUUACUGGGCGUAAAGCGUGCGCAGGCGGUUUCGUAAGUCUGUCGUGAAAUCCCCGGGCUCAACCUGGGAAUGGCGAUGGAGACUGCGAGGCUAGAGUUUGGCAGAGGGGGGUAGAAUUCCACGUGUAGCAGUGAAAUGCGUAGAGAUGUGGAGGAACACCGAUGGCGAAGGCAGCCCCCUGGGUCAAAACUGACGCUCAUGCACGAAAGCGUGGGGAGCAAACAGGAUUAGAUACCCUGGUAGUCCACGCCCUAAACGAUGUCUACUAGUUGUUGGGUCUUAAUUGACUUAGUAACGCAGCUAACGCGUGAAGUAGACCGCCUGGGGAGUACGGUCGCAAGAUUA
Molecule: ribosomal RNA, 370 nt
Filed under: uncultured organism
Description: bacterial SSU rRNA
Rfam family: Bacterial small subunit ribosomal RNA
Source: RNAcentral